RNAcentral lists this long non-coding RNA (684 nucleotides) under Homo sapiens (human). RNAcentral describes it as "HSALNT0337247". Lineage: Eukaryota; Metazoa; Chordata; Mammalia; Primates; Hominidae. The record is from RNAcentral.
UUGUGAGCCAGAUCAAAACCCUGUCCUGGGGAGACAAUUGGGUAUGUCCAGGUGCAGUUGUUCAAUGUGAUUUAGUCCCUACCAGGAGGUCUGGUUGCCUGGGUUCAGAACAGCAGAGGAAAAAUUAGACAAAAGACACAUUCAGAAGUCAAGGUGCUCUGACAGUUCAGCAGACAUAUGACCUAACUUCAACCAGCAGACAGGAUCUGACCUAGGAAAGAUGAAGACAAAAACCAGAUCUCAAACAGAUGUAUUGUAGUUCAAGGUAGGGCAAUCAGACCUGUAGGAAGACUGAGCAGGCCACUGAAUUGGGCCCCCGAAAGAGAAGCCCAGACAUGAGGACUGGACCCACCCAGGAACUGGGAGUAAAGCAAUUUGGGGACAGUUGGGUCCUAGGCCUCGCCUCUAGGAAACCUGGAUUGCCCAGUCGGUGCUGAAGGUGUCUCAGAUCUGCUUGGAUCUAUAAUAUUGGACCUGAGUUCAUCCAUCAUACAAGAUUGAUGAUCCCUGCAGAAGUUAAAAGUCUAGGAAUAAGAAAUUUGUGAAUGUGUUUUGCCACUUCAAUUGCCUCUACUGAUCAAGAAAGCAAAGACCCCCUAAACUUCAGGGCAAAAAGUGAAGAAUAAAUUUGAUUUGUGUUAGUGCCAAUACAGUUUUGAGUAUGUGUGUAGCUUUGAUGUGAUU